This 73-nucleotide transfer RNA is filed under the name Candidatus Andersenbacteria bacterium RIFCSPHIGHO2_01_FULL_46_36. Its description in RNAcentral is "tRNA-Val". It matches the Rfam family "tRNA". From Rfam's summary of the family: Transfer RNA (tRNA) molecules are approximately 80 nucleotides in length. Lineage: Bacteria; Candidatus Anderseniibacteriota. RNAcentral also lists the same sequence under 2 other names. The record is from RNAcentral.
GGGCGGUUAGCUCAGUUGGUAGAGCGCCUGGUUUACACCCAGUAGGUCGUGGGUUCGAGUCCCUCACCGCCCA